UCAAGAGAGAAAGAAAACAAAAACAAAAUAAUGUUGAUUAUAUCUAAAAUUAUGUCUUUAAAUAUAUAUUUCCAUAAGAUGAUGAUGAUGAUAAUAAUAAUAAUAAUAAUAAUAAUAAUAAUAAUAAUAAUAAUACACUUUAUUUAUACUCUGCCCUUCUCCCCUAGGGGAGAAACUAAGCGAGGAAGGUUAAUAUAUAUCUGUAGAAAGUCCAGGGUGUGAGAAGAACUCUUUGUCAGUUAGAAAGCCAGUGUGAAUGUUGCAGUUAAUCACCUCAAUUUGCAUUGGAAAGGUUCAUUUCCUGGCUAUUUCUGGCCAUCAGAUUGGAAAAAAUCAAUUUAUAUCCCCAUACCAAAAAAGGGAAACACUAACGAACGCUCAAACUUCUGUACAGUGGCACUUAUCUCCCAUGCCAGUAAGGUAAUGCUCAAGAUCCUGCAAGGAAGACUUCAGCAAUACAUGGAGCGAGAGUUGCCAGAUGUCCAAGCUGGGUUUAGAAAAGGCAGAGGAACAAGAGACCAAAUUGCCAAUAUCCGCUGGAUAUGUAGUAAUUACUGUAUUUAUGAAUUUAGCACCAAAAUAUCACAAUAUAUUGAAAACAUUGACUCCAAAAAUGUGUUGGAUAAUCCAGAACGUUGGAUAAGUGAGUGUUGGAUAAGUGAGACUCUACUGUAUGUAUAUCGGUUCCACAGAUAUAGGGGUCACAUUGUACAUUGGAUCUUUGAUACUACAAUUCCCCUAAAAGAGAGGGCAACCCUCUCCCACACAGAUAUGUUUUUGUGGCCUGGUGCUUCUAAGCCACAGCAUAACAUGACCUUGACUGUCCCUUGGUCAAAAGUAGAGGCAAAAACAAAUAAGAAAACACAGUCCUUUAAGGAACGCCUUCAAUGCCCUCUCGGAUCCUGGAGGUAAAGUACAGCAGCCCUGCCCUAAAUGUUCAUUGGACUUUGCUCCCAUCAGUGUUCAUUUGCUAUAACAUUUUCCUAGAAAGCCAGCGUAAAUUAUUACCUAAGAGGAUGCCUGCCAAAGUUGAUCAAGUGGAGAUGAGGGGGGGGGGGGGAAGGAACUGAGGCCCCUUCUACACAUGGCUAAAAACCCAGAAGUGACCGAGUUAAAAGGAGUGGGUGGUUAAAUGAUGUUUAGGCAAAGUGCAGGUGGAGAUGAGUUAACAGCUGAAAAGCACGUGUCAAAAAGGUGUGCUUAAAACCCGAUUCUGCCCAUAAAAUGUGCCCGUAUAUUCCUGCAGUCAUGCAAAACACGUGCUUCCUUUCCCCCUUCGUAGACUGCUCCAGCUGCCAGCCCACAAGGAAGGACGGCAUGCCAUCCGUAAGGGUACUGACUCUUCUUGAAAAGUUUGUGAAGGAGAACUACAGCUCAACGAAGCACUCACAGCAAGGCCAGAGCCAUGGGGCCAUCAUGAAGAAACUCAGCAUGGACUCUGCCUCCCGGAAGCAUGUGCUCAGCCCUUGAUGAAGGGAGGGAAGGAAGAAAGGAAGGAAGGAGCCAAGCUGUGGCCACAGGGGACCGAUGGCUGCUGGUGUCCCUCUCCCUCCUUGGCCCCUCUCCCUUGGUCCCCACGUAUUUUUUAAAAUAGCUCAGAGCAUUGAAUUUCUGGAGAUGUGAAGAAACUAAAGCCAAUGGCAAAAAACUGACUGCUCCAAUGCACAUGCGUGUUUUAAAAGCCCGAAACAGUUGAUCCGGCUGUCAAAACAUGGAGCCACGGACACAUAGGUGGCUCAAGAGAAGCAGAAGUGGAAAGCAAUUAGAACUUUCUGAAGCUCUUUCUUUUAAACUUUAUGAUAUUAAACAGAGCUUGAAUUAACAAUUGGUGAAGAGAGAGAUAAGAAAUUGGCUUGUGUUUACAUUAAGAUAUUUGCAUGUGCACAUAUGAGGUCCAGUGCAUAAUGGAGUGAUUUUUUUUAACAAACUUGCACCUGAUGUCCGCCAUCCGCUCUUCAUCUUGAUAUGCUUCAAAGGAAGAUGUGAGGAUGGCAGGGGACCAUAUCCCAGGACGGACAGGUCUGUGUGUGGCCCUGCUGUCAGGUCCCCGGAUUUGUUGCCCCAGAUUUAAAACACACAUUUUGGUUUGAAAGCACCCUGGGGUAACAAUACAGGUCAUAGAGAUUAUCAGGGCCGUAGCCAGAAAAAAAAUUCGGGAGGGGUUUUGAAAAUUUCGGGGGGGGGGGGGGUUGAACCCCUAGCACACACUUCUCCCCGCUACAAACCUGUCAAUAUCUGCUUGAAAUAGUGCCUGGAGGGACUCUUAAUGUUUUGCGUCUCAUAGACUUAGCAUGGGGAUUUGGUUAACCGGUUAAAAUUCAUGAGUAAACCAGGUAUUUUUUAUAACCUGAAAAAUUUCGGGGGGGGUUGGGGUUGAACCCCUAAAACCGCCCCCUCGCUACAGGCCUGGAGAUUAUGUCUGCACUACAGAGUUAUAGCAAUUUGACACCUCUUUUAUUAUAUUGGAUAUUUGAUUUUGUGUAGAUGGACCUAUUACUCAUUUUGUGAUGGAUGAAAGCUGGUUAAUAUUUUAAGUACAUAAGUAUCUUCCAUGGCUUCACUGAUAAAAUAGGAACAUCAUGUGAAUGUAUGGUGUGUGUGUGUGUUCCCAUGAAGGAGUAUUAGCUGUAUACACAUCUGCAAAAUGCUAGUCUCUCUUAUGUCCCAGGAACCAAACAUCAUCCACUGAAAUGGGAUAAUGGGAGUCUCAGGGCAGAUAAAAGCAAAGGCAUUGCCCCUAAAUAAGAAUUUUGUUCCCAAAUGAAGUUUUCCUUUUGCUACUUGCAUUGUUGCUUUAUCACAGGAUGUCUACACCCCACACCACUGGAGAAAUUAUACUGUUUCACCAGCAUUGCACCACCUGACAUCCGGAGCCAGCAAUGAAAGGACUAAGGCAUUGACAUCUCUGGCCCAUCCCCUGUUUGGAUAUCAGCCAGCACGCCAAUGCCUUAAAUCAAGAAAUGAGAUCUACAGAGAUACUCGCAGGAACACCUCAACAAGCCAGAGUCCAAAAGUGGCAGGCUAAAACCCGGAACCUCAAUCAGUGGCUGAUGCUGGAUGAGAGACUCCCUCUUGGGCACACAGAAGACUGGGCGACUUGGAAGGCACUGAACAGAUUGCGUUCUGGCGCCACUAGAUGCAGAGCCAACCUUAAGAAAUGGGGCCACAAAGUGGAGUUCAUGACAUGUGAGUGUGGAGGAGAGCAAACCACAGACCACCUGCAACAUCAAAGACACUCCAAGUGGCCAGCUACUGGUGAAAGGACAUUUAGUAUAAUGGCAAGUUUUAAACUUUAUGUUUUCAAAUACAUUACAACUUGUACCCUCGGUGCGCUUCUGACACAAUAAAAUUUAAAAAUUGCAGAAAGUUCAGACUUAAGAACGGCUGUAUUUGCAUUCCCUGGGAAAAUGCCUGUUUUCCUGAGAUGCUUAAACUGUAUAUGUACUUGGGGAGAGGCAAUGCUUUCAUUUUGCACACCCUCUAUUAUUGUUGAUUGUUGUGUGCUUUUCAAGCCAUUUUCCAACUUUUGGUGACCUUAAAGUGAUCCUGUUAACAUAGUUUAUUUGGCAAAGUGAGAAGGCUUUGUCUUCCUCUAAGGCUGAAAGUGUAUGAAUUGCCCAAAGUCACCCAAUAGGUUUAGAUGGCCAAGAAGAGAUUUGAAGUCUGAUUUCGAGUUGUAGUCCAACAACUCAAACCACUACUUUAUGUAGAUAGUAGCACUGCGUGGGGCACCCUGGAUUAAAGGGACCUAUUAUUUAUUUUUUAAUUUAUUUACAGUAUUUAUAUUCCGCCCUUCUCACCCCGAAGGGAACUCAGGGCGGAUCACAUUACACACAUAAGGCAAACAUUCAAUGCCUUAACACAGAACAAAGACAAGACAAACACGGGGCUCCGAGCUGGCCUCGAACUCAUGACCACUUGGUCAGAGUGAUUUGUUGCAGCUGGCUGCAGCUGGUUGCUCAACAGCCUGCGCCACAGCCCGGCCUGACUACUUCUUCACGCAAUGUAUAACACUGGCCAACACACAUUUCUGUGCCUCAAUUAGGGCUAAAAAUCCAUAUAUGACUCUGGCUAUCAAGUAAGAAAAAACUUUUUACAUGCUCUGAGCCACUAAUUUCAAACACAUUCCAAAGAGAGCUUUUACUGAUGCGAAGUAAUGUGGCCAUGAGCCUUGUUAUGCCGAUUUAAGAGCCAAAGCCUGGUUCAGAUCAAGUUCUGUUUGUCCUUUUCUUCAUGGAGUCUUUCCCAUCAAAUGUCGCAAUGUCUGUAAGCAGGAGCAAACCAGGCCCUCCUUCAGUUUAAAACUCCCUUUGCAGAAAGAGAAAGUAAUGAGUAGAGAUUAUUGCUCCAUUUAGAAGAAAAUUUCAGAUAAACAAAGCAGCUUUGAUUAUACCUUUGACCAGGACAGCCUUGAUAACAGAGGACACUUA
Molecule: long non-coding RNA, 4430 nt
Organism: Anolis carolinensis (green anole)
Lineage: Eukaryota; Metazoa; Chordata; Lepidosauria; Squamata; Anolidae
Source: Ensembl